CACCGCUGUUGUAAGUGGCAGGAGCCAUCUGUAGUCACCAUGGCAAAGAGGGAGGACAGCCCUGGCCUAGAAGUGCAACCAAUGGACAAGCAGUUCCUGGUGUGCAGCAUCUGCCUGGAUCGGUAUCGGUGACCCAAAGUUCUGCCUUGCCUGCAUACCUUCUGUGAGAGAUGUCUCCAGAACUACAUCCCUGCCCAGAGCCUGACACUGUCCUGCCCCGUGUGUCGGCAGACGUCCAUCCUCCCCGAGCAGGGUGUCUCAGCACUGCAGAACAACUUCUUCAUCAGCAGCUCAUGGAGGCCAUGCAGCAAGCACCCGAUGGGGCCCACGACCCAGAGGACCCCCACCCCCUUAGCGCUGUGGCUGGCCGCCCUCUCUCCUGCCCCAACCAUGAAGGCAAGACAAUGGAAUUUUACUGUGAGGCCUGAGAGACAGCCAUGUGCGGAGAGUGCCGCGCAGGAGAGCAUCGGGAGCAUGGCACAGUGCUGCUGCGGGACAUGGUGGAGCAGCACAAGGCAGCCCUGCAGCACCAGCUUGAGGCUGUGCGUGGCAGCUUGACCCAGUUGUCUACAGCUAUUGCCUUAGUCGGGGGCAUCAGCCAGCAGUUGCAAGAGUGCAAGGCAGAAGCCCUGGCCCAGAUCAGUGCAGCCUUCGAGGACCAGGAGCAAGCGCUACAGCAGCGCAAGCAGGCUCUGGUCAGCGACUUGGAGACUAUUUGUGGGGCCAAGCAGAAGGUGUUGUAAAUCCAGUUAGACACACUGCGCCAGGGUCAGGAGCACAUUGGCAGUAGCUGCAGCUUCACGGAGCAGGCACUGCAUCUGGGCUCUGCCCCGGAAGUGUUACUGGUGCGCAAGCACAUAAGAGAGAGGCUGGCAGCUCUGGCAGCUCAGGUCUUCCCAGAACGGCCACAUGAGAAUGCACAGCUAGAACUGGUCCUUGAGGUUGAUGGGCUGCGAAGAUCGGUGCUUAAUCUGGGCACAUUGCUCACCACCAGUGCCACUACACACCAGACAGUGGCCACAGGCGAGGGCCUGCUCCAGGCACUAGUGGGCCAACCCGCCUUGCUCACUGUCACUACCAAAGACAAAGAUGGGUGGCUGGUGUGCACAGGCAGCGCUGAGCUGCCAGCAGGGAUCACAGGCUUGGAUGGCACGCGCCUUCCUGUGCCAGUGGUGGACCACAAGAAUGGCAUUUAUGAGCUAGUGUACACUGCACGCACCGAAGGCGAGCUGCUCCUCUCAGUGCUGCUCUACGGGCAGCCAGUGCGUGGCAGCCCUUUCCGUGUGCGUGCCCUGCAUCCUGGGGACCUGCCACCUUCCCCUGAUGAAGCACCGUGUCAAGUCCCCUGGUGGACCAGGCAGCCAUGUGCGCCAGAAGGCAGUGCGUAGGCCCAGCUCCGUGUACAGCACAGGUGACAAACGGAAGGAGAACCCAAUUGAGGACGAGCUCGUCUUCCGUGUUGGCAGUCGUGGAAGAGAGAAGGGUGAAUUCACUAAUUUACAAGGUGUGUCUGCAGCUAGCAGUGGUCGCAUUGUGGUAGCAGACAGCAACAAUCAGUGUCUCCAGACCAAGACUGGAGCCGGCUGCCUCAUGGGGCCCAAAGGAGUGGCUGUAGACCGGAAUGGACAUAUCAUUGUGGUUGACAACAAAUCUUGCUGUGUCUUCACCUUCCAACCGAAUGGCAAGCUGAUUGGACAUUUUGGGGGCUGUGGGGCUACUGACCGCCACUUUGCAGGGCCCCAUUUUGUGGCUGUGAACAACAAGAACGAGAUUGUAGUAACGGAUUUCCAUAACCAUUCAGUGAAGGUGCUGAUGGAGAGUUCCUCUUCAAGUUUGGCUCCCAUGGUGAGGGCAACGGGCAGUUCAACACUCCCACAGGAGUAGCUGUGGACUCCAAUGGGAACAUCAUUGUGGCAGACUGGGGCAACAGCCGUAUCCAGGUGUUUGACAGCUCUGGCUCCUUCCUGUCCUAUAUCAACACUUCUGCAGAGCCACUGUAUGGCCCACAGGGCUUGGCACUGACCUCGGAUGGCCACGUGGUGGUGGCUGAUGCUGGCAACCACUGCUUUAAGGCCUAUCGCUACCUCCAGUAGCUGCACAGGGGCCCUGCCUGGCUCAUGGAGGGACGGGCAAAGGGGUGAUUGGACAAGAGGGUCUGGCUGAGAGGUGGGCCAGAUCUUGCAGCACUGAAUGUGGGCUGUGGGCGUGGGUGCGGCCAUACCUUCCCUUUCCUCCCCAAACCCCAUGGUUGCACUUUAUUUAUUCGGUUCUUGCUUUGGUGACUGGGUGGGCCUGGACUGUGGUCCUAAGGAUGUGUGCAGAGCUUCACCUUAUCCCCUUUACACACCUCCCCUGACCCCUCAGUCUGCUCUCUACCCCACUGCCUGGGGCCAGAACAGCCUCUUACUCCAGGACAGAAGUCCCUCUGGUUGUCUCCCUACCACCCUUUACACACUGACAGAGACAGCAAUACCCCACCCCCCAUAUUAAAUAAAUGUCUUCACCAAGAAAAAAAA
Molecule: non-coding RNA, 2516 nt
Organism: Ictidomys tridecemlineatus (thirteen-lined ground squirrel)
Lineage: Eukaryota; Metazoa; Chordata; Mammalia; Rodentia; Sciuridae
Source: RefSeq, a predicted model, not a curated record